AUACGUAGGUGGCAAGCGUUGUCCGGAUUUACUGGGUGUAAAGGGCGUGCAGCCGGGACGGCAAGUCAGAUGUGAAAUCCAUGGGCUUAACCCAUGAACUGCAUUUGAAACUGUCGUUCUUGAGUACCGGAGGGGCCAUCGGAAUUCCUAGUGUAGCGGUGAAAUGCGUAGAUAUUAGGAGGAACACCAGUGGCGAAGGCGGAUUGCUGGACGGCAACUGACGGUGAGGCGCGAAAGUGUGGGGAGCAAACAGGAUUAGAUACCCUGGUAGUCCACACUGUAAACGAUGGAUACUAGGUGUGCGGGGACUGACCCCCUGCGUGCCGGCGUUAACACAAUAAGUAUCCCACCUGGGGAGUACGAUCGCAAGGUUGAAACUCAAAUGAAUUGACGGGG
RNAcentral lists this ribosomal RNA (396 nucleotides) under uncultured bacterium. RNAcentral's name for it is "partial 16S ribosomal RNA". It matches the Rfam family "Bacterial small subunit ribosomal RNA", at positions 523 to 918 of the family's 1533-position model. The record is from RNAcentral.